GGAUGUAUACUCAGAUACUAUGAGUCAGGGAUUAGUGUGGUAUCUUGUCAUUUAUCUAAUAAUCAUGUUUAUUCAAUUCACUUUAUUGCAAUGAACAACUUAAUAAACAGCUGUCAAGUUAUAAGAAGAUGAAAUUCUUCUUGAUUUACGUAACAGAUUUAGACCUGGAAAUGGAUCGUUUUGCAAAGAAAGCCACAAUAACCAAUCAGAUUAUUCUUGGGAAAAGUAUGUGUAGUUUGAGGGCAGACAGCGUGCUACUUCCUGAAAACAUCCAAAAUGCAGAAGAGAACAAAAAUCUGCUUGAUAACUUGUUCCUGAUUUAAUAGUACUACUCUUUUCACUUAAAUAAAUUGUUGAACAGAUCACAAAAUUCCAAAAGUAGGUCUAGCAACUCAGAUUUAGAUUUAAUACACUGAUAAGAUUUCCUUAAGAAGUCAAUAACGAAAUAGUUAAAUAGCUUAUGUAAUGUCCAAGUAAAAUUCAAAUUAUACAGAUAUUUACCGUAACAAUGUGACUAUUUACAUUAACCAACUGGCAACAGGAGAGUACCGCACACUUAAAUUAUUACUUAAUAAAAGCAUAAUUUUUGACUUGACAUACACAUGUAAAAAUUAAUCAAAUUUAGUUGAAUCUUAAAAUUACUUUUCACCUUUCCUCUUUUGAACUCUUCGAUGAUUUCUUAAGCAGAAAAGAAGCUUUUAAAAACAGUUUAUAAUCAUAUUACAGCUAACAAAACUAACAUCAAAAACAGUACUUGAAUGUUUAUUAAAAGCUUCCAGUCAUUACAAUGAUUUUAAGACUAAUAAUAGCGUGAUGUAAUUUGAAUCCAUUUGCACUGAAAUAAAUUAUUGCCCUUCGUUUCCACUUCCCUAUAUUUUCGAAGGACUCAUCAACAUUGUUCUCUAAUAUUAAUCAAAACCGGAAUAAUCUCAGUUUCCAGCAUUUGGCUCUAUGGGAACAACUUUUCUAACAUCUUCAAGCGAUAAAAAUGCUUAUUAAAAAGGGGGAGAAAGAACUGAGAACAAUUAGAAAGAACAAACGAAUUUGUCAUCCCCCGAGUGUCACGGAGAUCUUUUUCUAGUUUCAAAGUAGUACAAUUCAACUGCCAGGCCCCAUUCCUUUAAAGCUUCACACUCGUG
RNAcentral lists this long non-coding RNA (1139 nucleotides) under Equus caballus (horse). RNAcentral's name for it is "lncRNA (ENSECAG00000054814.1)". Lineage: Eukaryota; Metazoa; Chordata; Mammalia; Perissodactyla; Equidae. The record is from RNAcentral.